This is a long non-coding RNA of Pipra filicauda (Wire-tailed manakin), 240 nucleotides long. RefSeq lists it as uncharacterized. Lineage: Eukaryota; Metazoa; Chordata; Aves; Passeriformes; Pipridae. The transcript has 2 exons. The record is from RefSeq and is a predicted model, not a curated record.
CAUUCUUCAAAACAGCAUUUUUCACUGGCAAUGUAAUUUUAGUUUGGAGUGCAGCAAUAAUUGAAUUCCUGGGACUGAUUGGAUACAGGGUCAGCAGCAAGAAGAAAAUCGAGCUCUUGCAUAACAAUACUGGGGCAGUUUUUGGUCUGUUUUGAUUUUGCUGUGAGGGUAUUGUGAACUGUAAGUUGUAUGGAACUCCAUGUUAUGUGUUGAACAGCACAUUAAACUUAAUUCCCUGAA